This 106-nucleotide small nuclear RNA is filed under the name Dasypus novemcinctus (nine-banded armadillo). The record is from RNAcentral. Lineage: Eukaryota; Metazoa; Chordata; Mammalia; Cingulata; Dasypodidae.
GUGCUUGCUUCAGCAGCAUAUAUACUAAAAUAGGAACAAUUUAGAGAAGAUUAGCAUGGCCCCUGCACCGGGAUAACAUGAAAUUCGUGAAACAGUCCAUAUUUUU